AAUUUUUUUAUUUUAGAGGAAGGGGAAUGAGGAAGGCGCACGCGCGCGCUCACACACACACACACACACACACACACACGCAGAAAGAGAGAAAAUGUUUGGAAUUGUGAAAGUGCCUUUCCUAGUAGUUGCUUUUACUGGCGCCCGGGCCUCAAUUCAUUUCAUCUCUGAACCAGAUACUAAAAAUCCUCCAGGCGAGUGGAGAGGACCGGCCUUCCUGGAUCGGGAACCUGCCCUCUGUCUUCCCUCGCAGCGCCCUUUCCUCCUUUCGCUUGGGAAAGGAAGAUUUCGAGCCCCAGGAAGGAGUUGGGAGUGAGCGACAGCCCAGAGCGUCCCAUAAGGUCCUUUUGGCCAUGUUUCUGCCCCGGGGGGCUUCACCUAGAUCCCCCACCCCACCCCUUACCCCUGUUGCAAAUACGUAAGCUGGACGCGCCUCGGUGCGGAUCCAGGCCUCGCUGAGCACGGAACCGGAGAAGCAGCUCACGGCCUCGGAUUCUACUCUCACCCAAGGGUGGAAGGGGGUGACAGGGCUCGGAUCUUGCCCCAAACGCUGCACAGGCCCGCAGGAGAGCAAAGAGGUCUCGGACAGGCUGUCCUUCCCCAGCUCUCGGUCGCGACAAGGUCCCGACAGGCCCGGGAACCGGCGAACCGCCUGCAGACAGGGUCUCUCUUUGUUGCCUAGGCUGGAGUGCAGUGGAACGAACUUGGCUUAUUGAAGCAUUGACCACCUGGACCCAAGUGAUUCUCCUACCUUAGCCUCUUGAAUAGCUGUGACAACAGGUGUGCACUACCACACCCAGAUAAAUUUUGUAAUUUUUAUAGAGAGGGCAUUUGACCAUGUUGCCCAGGCUGGUCUCAAACUCCUGAGCUCAAGUGAUACUCCUGCCUCGGCCUCCCAAAGUGCUGGGAUUACAGAUGAAGAAAAUGAGGCACUGAGAGAUUACAUAACUUCCCUUGAGUCAUAUUUGCUUGUAAGUGGUAAGGCUGGAUGUUGAACCCAGGACAAAGGGAGCCCAGUGGAGGAUCCCUGGAGGAGCAAAUAGAAGAAACCCAAAAGGGACUUGAAAGCGGGUCCCCUCCCUCACCUGGAUUCCCAGUCCGAAGAGGAGGAAGCAUCCGCCCUCCUUCCCUCCUUCUGACCCACCCAGCCACCCACCCAAGGUGCCAUUAAAGUUAAUUGUUUUUACUGCCAGUUUAACAUAGUCUUGUAAAUCUUUUUACGAUGUGGCCGGGGAACACCGAGCUGCAUGCAGGACUCAAUGGAGUUGGAGCACAGGAGCGUGGCCCCAGAGCUAUCUGGAGGGUGUAAAAUGGGAGCGCCACGUCUCUCCAGGGGCACCCUCUUCCCUCCUCCUGGAGCACCAGGCCCAAGACCCUCAUCUGAGUGGCAGUUCUCCCAGGCGAGGCUAGGAUUGUGCCUGGAAUGCUAAGAUCCUCCAGGUCACCCCCACUGUUUCGAGAGGCCAUCCCUCUUGACUCUAAGUUGUGGAAUCCUCCAGAAUCCGAGGCCUCCAAGCCCUGGAGAGAGGUUCUGGAUCCUUCAGAAAGGUUGAGGGGUGAUUCCCAUAUAGAAAGCUUGGCGCUGGGUCUCUCCAUUUGCCCACCAAGGACCGGCAGGCAAAAGCACUGCAAGGUGGACGUUUAGGGGUAUGAGGGGCGCACAUUCCAUGGCGCAGGGACUCUGGAGGUGCAGGUCUUCUACGAAGGUGAUUCCGCCAUUUCCCAGCCAUUACCAGCGGAGAGAGCUGAGUCUUCCUGAACAGCGCCUUUAAGCUGGUUUGUCCCAGGUUGGUGGAGCGGGACUCAGCGGUUUCUGUCCCUUGGGUAGACCUUGGCUUCCAUCUGUCUGGGUACAGGCACGAUUUCCCUCUCCCGGUUCCUGGCAUCCCCAUUGUGAGCCAUCCAUGUCAAAAUAAGGGUCUUAACUCCCACCGUUGUCACUAGCAUUAAACAGACACUCCUAAUGUGCCCAGAAAAAUGCCAGGCGCACGCUAAACAUCUGUAAACCACGGUGACAGCUCUAAGCGUUCAUGAUUAAGCCCAAAUAUUUAUUAGGCACUGGUGUGCAAGCCUUGUGUAAGUGCUGAGGACACACAGAGAAGAACGACGUACUUUCCUCUAAAGAGGGUUUUUUGUUAUUGACAAAGGAACCUAGAGGGCAUCAACGCAACACACAGAGCAGUCCUUCCCAAAACAUACCCCGGGAACCGGUUAGAAAUGCGCAUUCUCAGGCCCAGCUGAGACCAAUUGAAUGAGGUGUCCGGGAGCGGGGCCCAGAAUUCCUGUUUUAACAAAGCCCCCACGUGAUUGUGAGCUCCUUAAGGUUCGAGAACCCUGAUGCAGUGAACGCAGGCGCAGGCUCUGGAGUGAGAAAUUGUGGGUUUUCAUCUCCUUGCAUCUAUGUUGUGGGGCUUUGACCAAGAAAUGGUAACAAACUCAGAAGGGGAGAAGGGGAAAGAGAGUGGAUGGAGUAGGGGCGGUGAGAAGGAAGACAAGGGAAUAACCAGCCCUCUUCCCAACAGGGCUUCCUCGAUCAGAGGCCGAAUUUCCGAGCAGGAUAGACCAGGGGGCUCGAACUAAUAAUUCUGAGGGGUCAGAAAGGCCUCUCAAAACGCGCCGCGAUUUGAAACCUGCAAACGCGGGGUUCAGGUCGGCUCCGUUUCUUCCAAGCAGCCUGCCUUUGGGGCACCCAACCCUUCCCAAGCCUCGGUUUUCCCGAUCUUGUGGGAUCCUUGCGGCGCGAAUGGGGUUGGAAGCACCUUGGAAGCUACAGAGUACCGGGUCGGGACAAUUUCCGGCACUGCCCCAGUUCAGUGGUUUAUAGAAAAUUUCUUUCUCUCUCUCAGGUCCACUAAGACCGAGAGAGAGAGAGAAGUCGACUCUGGCACACCCGGGCGAGGGGCUGCCGGGAUUCGGGAGCUGGCGCGGUUGAUUUUUUCCGAGAAUCCUCCACUUGGGGUGACGUCGGGCAGCGCGCGCGGGCCGUGAGGUUAAUGCCCAGGCUUUUCUCUAAAGCGUCCGGGAAUGAUCCGGCGAAUAAAA
Molecule: long non-coding RNA, 3042 nt
Filed under: Homo sapiens (human)
Lineage: Eukaryota; Metazoa; Chordata; Mammalia; Primates; Hominidae
Description: HSALNT0195303
Source: RNAcentral